Molecule: ribosomal RNA, 785 nt
Filed under: uncultured Glomus
Lineage: Eukaryota; Fungi; Glomeromycota; Glomeromycetes; Glomerales; Glomeraceae
Description: SSU rRNA
Rfam family: Eukaryotic small subunit ribosomal RNA
Source: RNAcentral
AUGGUAGGAUAGAGGCCUACCAUGGUGGUAACGGGUAACGGGGUGUUAGGGCACGACACCGGAGAGGGAGCCUGAGAAACGGCUACCACAUCCNAGGAAGGCAGCAGGCGCGCAAAUUACCCAAUCCCGACACGGGGAGGUAGUGACAAUAAAUAACAAUACGGGGUUCUUUGAAUCUUGUAAUUGGAAUGAGUACAAUUUAAAUCUCUUAACGAGGAACAAUUGGAGGGCAAGUCUGGUGCCAGCAGCCGCGGUAAUUCCAGCUCCAAUAGCGUAUAUNAAAGUUGUUGCAGUUAAAAAGCUCGUAGUUGAAUUUCGGGAUCAAUACGUCGGUCGUGCUUUCGGGUACGUACUGGCGUCAUUGGUUUCUCCUUUCUGACGAACCAUGAUGUCAUUAAUUUGGUGUUAUGGGGAGUUAGGACUGUUACUUUGAAAAAAUUAGAGUGUUUAAAGCAGGCAUUAGCUUGAAUACAUUAGCAUGGAAUAAUGAAAUAGGACGUUCGAUCCUAUNUUGUUGGUUUCUAGGAUCAACGUAAUGAUUAAUAGGGAUAGUUGGGGGCAUUAGUAUUCAAUUGUCAGAGGUGAAAUUCUUGGAUUUAUUGAAGACUAACUACUGCGAAAGCAUUUGCCAAGGAUGUUUUCAUUAAUCAAGAACGAAAGUUAGGGGAUCGAAGACGAUCAGAUACCGUCGUAGUCUUAACCAUAAACUAUGCCGACNAGGGAUCGGAUGAUGUUAAUUUUUUAAUGACUCANUCGGCGCCUUACGGGAAACCAAAGUGUUUGGG